GCAAACUUGGUCAUUUAGAGGAAGUAAAAGUCGUAACAAGGUCUCCGUUGGUGAACCAGCGGAGGGAUCAUUACUGAAAUUUAUUUACAUUUACCGACGAAUUUACCUGUUGCCUCGCGGUGCUUUAACAUCCACCGCAAAAGGCGUUUAUACGAAUUUUUCUUGUGUUGGUGCUAUCAGGUCUUCAAACCGAAUAAAACCAAAACUUUCAACAAUGGAUCUCUUGGCUCCGGCAUCGAUGAAGAACGCAGC
Molecule: unclassified non-coding RNA, 252 nt
Filed under: uncultured fungus
Lineage: Eukaryota; Fungi
Description: partial contains small subunit ribosomal RNA, internal transcribed spacer 1, and 5.8S ribosomal RNA
Rfam family: Eukaryotic small subunit ribosomal RNA (bases 1-73)
Source: RNAcentral